CAGCACCAGACGCUCCAUCAGCUUGUCGAAGCGCUCGCCGGUCGCGCGCUCCAUGAUUUGCGCAACGAGCGGAAAGUUGA
Molecule: unclassified non-coding RNA, 80 nt
Filed under: plant metagenome
Description: partial contains 5.8S ribosomal RNA, internal transcribed spacer 2, and large subunit ribosomal RNA
Source: RNAcentral